Molecule: ribosomal RNA, 253 nt
Filed under: uncultured bacterium
Lineage: Bacteria
Description: partial 16S ribosomal RNA
Rfam family: Bacterial small subunit ribosomal RNA
Source: RNAcentral
UACGAAGGGGGCUAGCGUUGUUCGGAAUUACUGGGCGUAAAGGGCUCGUAGGUGGCCAACUAAGUCAGACGUGAAAUCCCUCAGCUUAACUGGGGAACUGCGUCUGAUACUGGAUGGCUUGAGUUUGGGAGAGGGAUGCGGAAUUCCAGGUGUAGCGGUGAAAUGCGUAGAUAUCUGGAGGAACACCGGUGGCGAAGGCGGCAUCCUGGACCAACACUGACACUGAGGAGCGAAAGCCAGGGGAGCAAACGGG